Molecule: long non-coding RNA, 544 nt
Organism: Canis lupus familiaris (dog)
Lineage: Eukaryota; Metazoa; Chordata; Mammalia; Carnivora; Canidae
Exons: 3
Source: RefSeq, a predicted model, not a curated record
CUGAAGGGCUAGCUAAACCACUGAGCCACCCAGGGAUCUCCUAGGUGACAGUUCUUAAUUUUGACAACAAAAUAACUUGAUGGGCAAGAAGUAACAAGGCCAUGUCUAAAAGAAAUUAAAUUUUUAGAGAGAAUUGGAAUUCAGCAACACUUCCCGAAGGACACAAAAAUGCUGAUAGGUAAAGAGGAGGAAGCAAGAUUCUCAGGUCUCAGUUCCCUCCUGCCAUCUCUUCUGCCAAGAUAGCCCUGCCUCUCUCUCCCUAUGCCAGAGAUCCCUAUGGAUUCUAGGAAUGAGUAGUCCAAGACAGAGAAGGCAAGGGCAACAACCAGCACUUUGUCCUUUUUUUUCCACUCACUGUUUCAUCUCUGAAGCCAAGACUUCUACCUAGGCAUGAAGGUAUUUAAAUAAGUAACCCUUUCUCUCCCUCUCACUGAUAGAAAAACUUGGAUAUUUCUCAGGGGAAUUUCUCAUAAACCCCCUCUCCACCACGAAAUCUGAGACAAAAAAUAAAGAGAAAUUCUUUAGCCACUCUCCUAAAUAUAAG